UAGGGAAUAUUAGAAAUGGACGAAAGUCUGAUCUAGCAACACCGCGUGUGCGAAGAAGGCCUUCGGGUCGUAAAGCACUUUUUGGAAGGAAUAGGAAGGAAUGUACUUCCAGAAUAAGUCUCGGCUAACUACGUGCCAGCAGCCGCGGUAACACGUAGGAGGCGAACGUUAUCCGGAUUUACUGGGCGUAAAGCGCGUGUAGGUGGUUCUGUAAGUAGGGCGUGAAAGCUCCUGGCUCAACUGGGAGAGGCCGUUCUAAACUACAGAACUAGAGGAUGGUAGAGGGAGGUGGAAUUCCAGGUGUAGCGGUGGAAUGCGCAGAUAUCUGGAGGAACACCAGUGGCGAAGGCGGCCUCCUGGACCAUUCCUGACACUCAGACGCGAAAGCUAGGGUAGCAAACG
RNAcentral lists this ribosomal RNA (402 nucleotides) under uncultured prokaryote. RNAcentral's name for it is "bacterial SSU rRNA". It matches the Rfam family "Bacterial small subunit ribosomal RNA", at positions 355 to 774 of the family's 1533-position model. The record is from RNAcentral.